This 1235-nucleotide long non-coding RNA is filed under the name Salmo salar (Atlantic salmon). RNAcentral describes it as "lncRNA (ENSSSAG00000119428.1, ENSSSAG00075003346.1)". Lineage: Eukaryota; Metazoa; Chordata; Actinopteri; Salmoniformes; Salmonidae. The record is from RNAcentral.
CCCAUUUUGGCUGUAGUGUUUCCAAGCAUGUGAAUGAGAACGCGUUCUUUGGUAUUUUUCUCCGGACAUUAUCGAACAAAAGGACCAUUUGUGAUGUAACUGGGACCUUUUGGAGUGCCAACAGAAGAAGAUCAUCAAAGGAGUUGGUGCUCACAGAGGCCAGGUCAUCUCCCUGGGCUUCUGUAGUCACAGAUCUGGCUUCAAUACACGUACUGGGAUGAUCAGAUUCCAGGAAUAGCUGCACUUUGGUCAAGCAGAUAGCCCAGCAGCUAAGGAGUUGGAUCUGUGGCUGGAGUUGGACCUGUGGCUGAAAGGUGGCUGGUUCAAAUCCCAGACCAAAAUCAAACCAUUCCCCUACUAAUGGGCCCUUGAUCAAGGGCCUUAACCCCACAACAUGCUCUCCUUCCAGGGAAGCUGCUUGAACCUGUGCUUGUCUCAACUGUGUGUGUGAAUUUUGAGGGGGUUGAGAACGGAGUAGAAGACAUUUUUAUGUUGUUCACUAUAACUAAUGGACAAAGUAUAUUGUAUUACACUGCGCGAAAAGGGACAUCUUUAUCUAUAUAUUUCCCGAUAUGUGACAUUUCAUUCGAUAUAAGGAGUAGACAUGCUCCAGAAACACAUGUCCAUAAUUUCAUAUAUGGAGGUAGGAUAUUCUCCGUAAAGGCACAGUUUCUACAUGCAUCCAAUCUGAACCUCAGAAAUCUCCCUGCUACCGUAUGAGUCCAGGGAGAUAUCUGAGGUGAGAUUCCCUCAAGACACGCACCUGAUGCGCGUGCACCUGCUUACAUACUUGUAGAAUAUUUUUACUCCAGAAAGGGUGUAUCAACAUGCUGACAUAUCUAAGCCUUUAUAAUUAGGCAUGAACAAAUCCACAUAUUUUCAGAAAUGUAUUAUAUCUGUAGUCAUUACCUGAUCAUUUAUGGAUCCGUAUUUUUUUAAAUGCAUAAUUUCAAUAGAUAUCCUUACAUGAUAUUUAAUAUUCAUCCUCAUAUGUCUGAUGAAAAAUGGGCUAAAUCCAAUUCAGGAUCAAUGUCCAUGAGCCAAAUUAUUUUACGUUCAGCCGCCGAAAAUCAUUGUGCUUCUUCACAUGAAGGUGACAUACCUGAGGAAACAUUUGCACCAUAUUCAGUAGUAGGAUACAAGGCAUGGAAAGGCAAACAUCAUAUUUAAUCCAAGUACUACUCUGCUAUUUCUGUUUAAAAAAAUCAAGAGCUCCAAUCACAACACGUGUUUCC